CACUGGGGGAGGAUCUCUUUCUGGAGAUCCCUCCUUGGUGAAGCUUUCCCCUGCAAACCUGGAAUCUUCUAAUACAGGUCAAGAGUUAUCUAUCAAGGUAUGAAGACAACAGCUAAAAAUCCUUGAACCCUGACAAGAACAGGCAGUGGAGGUGACCAGCAUGGAAGGAAGUGGGUGAUGGAAGUAUAAUCACUGCAGAGAGAGCUGUGGAGGCUCAGAUCUUUCUAUUGCAAAGCAGGGAGCUGAUAAUCUUCUGCAGGGUCAUCCAAGCUGCUGAAGUGCCAGGCUUUGGCUGCUCCCUCGGUUCCCAUGAGUGCAGGUGGGGAUUAGAGUGAUUGCAGGAUGGUUUAUAGCAAGAAUAUGGACAAAAUAGGAAGCUGGAUGCAGUCUUCUGCUGUGAUUGAUCUUACUCCAAACUUCAGAUGAAAUUAAAGGACCAUGGCAACCAUCUUCUCAGGUCUGACCCUGUUGCAAAGUCCCUGGAGGAAAAAAAAAAAAGUAUCUUGCCAUUUUGUGCUACGUGGGCAGGUUGCUUUCAGUAUCUAUCUCAGAGGAAGAUUUCACUUGAUGACAGAAUUAUUAUUAAAUCAUGUAUUUGGUUGCUGGGAGUUACCACAGUCUUGAAAUUUAAUAUAUAAUAAAUCUUAAGUUGCAGAUAAAGUAACUAAAUUUGCAU
Long non-coding RNA from Lagopus muta (rock ptarmigan), 676 nucleotides. RefSeq lists it as uncharacterized. NCBI's taxonomy places the organism in Eukaryota, Metazoa, Chordata, Aves, Galliformes, Phasianidae. The transcript is spliced from 4 exons. The record is from RefSeq and is a predicted model, not a curated record.